AUACGGAGGGUGCAAGCGUUACUCGGAAUCACUGGGCGUAAAGCGCGCGCAGGCGGCUAUUUAAGUUGGAUGUGAAAGCCUACGGCUCAACCGUAGAACUGCAUCCAAAACUAUUAGACUAGAGUGUGGGAGAGGAAGAUGGAAUUAGUUGUGUAGGGGUAAAAUCCGUAGAGAUAACUAGGAAUACCAAAAGCGAAGGCAAUCUUCUGGAACACUACUGACGCUGAGGCGCGAAAGCGUGGGGAGCAAACAGGAUUAGAAACCCUAGUAGUCC
RNAcentral lists this ribosomal RNA (274 nucleotides) under uncultured bacterium. RNAcentral describes it as "partial 16S ribosomal RNA". It matches the Rfam family "Bacterial small subunit ribosomal RNA", at positions 523 to 796 of the family's 1533-position model. The record is from RNAcentral.